AAGCCUAUGUAGUUGGUAGGAAGCCUUAAGCUCUGUAUAAACCUCCACAGUGAAAAAUGUAACAGGCUCAGGAUACGGGAAGUCGUUGCCUGUAUU
This 96-nucleotide non-coding RNA is filed under the name Legionella tucsonensis. The record is from RNAcentral. Lineage: Bacteria; Pseudomonadati; Pseudomonadota; Gammaproteobacteria; Legionellales; Legionellaceae.